AACGGCCGCGGUAAAUUGACCGUGCAAAGGUAGCAUAAUCAUUAGUCUUUUAAUAGAAGGCUGGAAUGAAAGGUUUGACGAGGAAUUAACUGUCUCACCUUAUUUGUUUUAAAAUUUAAUUUUUUAGUCAAAAAGCUAAAAUUUUAUUGGUAGACGAGAAGACCCUAUAGAUCUUUAUAAAAAUUUAAAUAUUUAUUAAUAUAUUAUUAUAAUUAUUUAAUAUUUUAUUUUGUUGGGGUGACAAAAAUAUAUAAUUAACUUUUUUAUUUUUAAAACAUUAAUUUAUGAUUAGUAGAUCCGUAAUUUGCGAUUAUUAGAACAAGUUACCUUAGGGAUAACAGCGUAAUCCUCCUCCAGAGUUCUUAUUUACAGGAUGGGCUUGCGACCUCGAUGUUGGAUUAAGAUAAUAGUUAGGUGUAGCCGCUUAAUGUAUAGGUCUGUUCGAC
This 446-nucleotide ribosomal RNA is filed under the name Brachydiplax denticauda. RNAcentral's name for it is "partial 16S ribosomal RNA". It matches the Rfam family "Bacterial large subunit ribosomal RNA", at positions 1926 to 2585 of the family's 2925-position model. The record is from RNAcentral. Lineage: Eukaryota; Metazoa; Arthropoda; Insecta; Odonata; Libellulidae.